This 164-nucleotide ribosomal RNA is filed under the name uncultured bacterium. Its description in RNAcentral is "partial 16S ribosomal RNA". It matches the Rfam family "Bacterial small subunit ribosomal RNA", at positions 355 to 511 of the family's 1533-position model. The record is from RNAcentral.
UAGGGAAUCUUCCACAACGGGCGAAAGCCUGAUGGAGCAACGCCGCGUGUGUGAUGAAGGCUUUCGGGUCGUAAAGCACUGUUGUAUGGGAAGAACAGCUAGAAUAGGAAAUGAUUUUAGUUUGACGGUACCAUACCAGAAAGGGACGGCUAAAUACGUGCCAG